This 1386-nucleotide ribosomal RNA is filed under the name uncultured marine bacterium. Its description in RNAcentral is "bacterial SSU rRNA". It matches the Rfam family "Bacterial small subunit ribosomal RNA". The record is from RNAcentral.
GAGUUUGAUCCUGGCUCAGGAUGAACGCUAGCGGCAGGCUUAACACAUGCAAGUCGAGGGGUAACAGAGGAGCUUGCUUCUGCUGACGACCGGCGCACGGGUGCGUAACGCGUAUACAAUCUGCCUUUUACUAAGGAAUACCCCAGAGAAAUUUGGAUUAAUGCCUUAUAGUAUAUCGACUUCACAUGGAGAUGAUAUUAAAGAUUACGGUAAAAGAUGAGUAUGCGUCCUAUUAGCUAGAUGGUGUGGUAACGGCACACCAUGGCUACGAUAGGUAGGGGCCCUGAGAGGGGGAUCCCCCACACUGGUACUGAGACACGGACCAGACUCCUACGGGAGGCAGCAGUGAGGAAUAUUAGACAAUGGGCGAAAGCCUGAUCUAGCCAUGCCGCGUGCAGGAUGACGGCCCUAUGGGUUGUAAACUGCUUUUAUACAGGAAGAAAAAACUCUACGUGUAGAGUCUUGACGGUACUGUAAGAAUAAGGAUCGGCUAACUCCGUGCCAGCAGCCGCGGUAAUACGGAGGAUCCAAGCGUUAUCCGGAAUUAUUGGGUUUAAAGGGUCCGUAGGUGGACAAUUAAGUCAGAGGUGAAAUCCUGCAGCUCAACUGUAGAAUUGCCUUUGAAACUGGUUGUCUUGAGUCAUUAUGAAGUGGUUAGAAUGUGUAGUGUAGCGGUGAAAUGCAUAGAUAUUACACAGAAUACCAAUUGCGAAGGCAGAUCACUAAUAAUGUACUGACACUGAUGGACGAAAGCGUGGGUAGCGAACAGGAUUAGAUACCCUGGCAGUCCAUGCCGUAAACUAUGAUCACUAGAUGUUGGCGAUAUAUUGUCAGUGUUUAAGAGAAAUCGUUAAGUGAUCCACCUGGGGAGUACGUUCGCAAGAAUGAAACUCAAAGGAAUUGACGGGGGCCCGCACAAGCGGAGGAACAUGUGGUUUAAUUCGAUGAUACGCGAGGAACCUUACCAAGGCUUAAAUGUAGAUUGACAGACUGUGAAAACAGUUUUUNUUCGGACAAUUUACAAGGUGCUGCAUGGUUGUCGUCAGCUCGUGCCGUGAGGUGUCGGGUUAAGUCCCAUAACGAGCGCAACCCCUAUUUUUAGUUACCAGCGAGUAAUGUCGGGAACUCUAGAAAAACUGCCUGUGUAAACAGAGAGGAAGGUGGGGAUGACGUCAAAUCAUCACGGCCCUUAUGUCUUGGGCUACACACGUGUUACGAUGGUUACUACAGUGGGCUGCCAUCUGGCAACAGAGAGCAAAUCCAUAAAGGUAAUCCCAGUUCGGAUCGGAGUCUGCAACUCGACUCUGUGAAGUUGGAUUCGCUAGUAAUCGUAUAUCAGCAAUGAUACGGUGAAUACGUUCCCGGGCCUUGCACACACCGCCCGUC